Small nuclear RNA from Otolemur garnettii (small-eared galago), 122 nucleotides. Its record names the gene U4. It matches the Rfam family "U4 spliceosomal RNA". Rfam says of the family: U4 small nuclear RNA (U4 snRNA) is a component of the major U2-dependent spliceosome. The structure of U4 snRNA from yeast and human has been reported. The record is from Ensembl. NCBI's taxonomy places the organism in Eukaryota, Metazoa, Chordata, Mammalia, Primates, Galagidae.
AGCCCUGCUCAGUGGUAGUAUCAUAGCCAAUGAGGUUUAUCCAAGGCAUGAUUAUUGCAACUGAGAACUUUCCACAUCUCUAUUAAGGUAUGUGACACUCUGUAUUUUACUGAAUGAAUUCA